AAAUUGAAGAGUUUGAUCAUGGCUCAGAUUGAACGCUGGCGGCAGGCCUAACACAUGCAAGUCGAACGGUAACAGGAAGCAGCUUGCUGCUUUGCUGACGAGUGGCGGACGGGUGAGUAAUGUCUGGGAAACUGCCUGAUGGAGGGGGAUAACUACUGGAAACGGUGGCUAAUACCGCAUAACGUCGCAAGACCAAAGAGGGGGACCUUCGGGCCUCUUGCCAUCAGAUGUGCCCAGAUGGGAUUAGCUUGUUGGUGAGGUAACGGCUCACCAAGGCGACGAUCCCUAGCUGGUCUGAGAGGAUGACCAGCCACACUGGAACUGAGACACGGUCCAGACUCCUACGGGAGGCAGCAGUGGGGAAUAUUGCACAAUGGGCGCAAGCCUGAUGCAGCCAUGCCGCGUGUAUGAAGAAGGCCUUCGGGUUGUAAAGUACUUUCAGCGGGGAGGAAGGUGUUGCGGU
RNAcentral lists this ribosomal RNA (463 nucleotides) under Salmonella enterica subsp. enterica serovar Typhimurium str. LT2-4_delta.ramA::kan. RNAcentral describes it as "bacterial SSU rRNA". It matches the Rfam family "Bacterial small subunit ribosomal RNA", at positions 1 to 460 of the family's 1533-position model. The record is from RNAcentral. Lineage: Bacteria; Pseudomonadati; Pseudomonadota; Gammaproteobacteria; Enterobacterales; Enterobacteriaceae.